AGCGAAUGCUCGAGCUCAGUCCUCGGGCACCCGCCCCGCCUGCAGCUCGCGACUCCUGGGCUCCCGCCGGCGCCCGACCUGGGCUCUGCCUCGGGAACGCGGGAGCCUGCGCUCCCGUGCGUGUGCAUGUGCGUGGGCCACUGCUGCCCCUGGGCGCGCACGAUUCGGGCGCUGAGCUCGUCCUGGCUUUUGGGCAGGUGUCCCGGGCACCGCUCGUGCUCUGCUCUCCCUCUCUCGCCCGGAUACCCAAGGCGCGAUUCCUGGACGCAGGCGGCUGGGUUCCGGUCGCUGCCGCAUUGUUUAUGGGGGUGCAGGCGUUUGCAGAGCAAAUGAAGAGCCGUCUGUGAUUUGGAAUUGUGGGUGUGCUGGAACACAUGGUUGCAUUCGAAUGAGUGCACCUGACAUUUGGAAGGCAGAGGCAUUGGAUUCCCCUGGAGCUGGAGUUACAGGCCAUUGUGAGCCACCUGACAUGGGUGCUGGAAACCAAACUCUGGUCCCCCUGGAAGAGGAAUAAGAGCUCGAAACUACUGACUCAUCUCUCCACUGUUUCAAGACUCACCCUCUUGCUUUCUGAAACGGAGACAAGGAAAGCAGGGCAGUUGUUGAGGGUUGACCCUCACAGUGCCCAGGUAAAUUCUUAGUGCAAAUGUUAGUCCCCUGUUGUUAAGGCCAUCCACACUAUCGGUGGCAUCGGGUUACCAUGGCAGCAGCAGGAAGUGGUCAUCAUACUUGACACUCGACUGUUCGCUUUCUUCUUGUUUGCAUAGCUCUAAGUUUACACUUCAGUCCAGUCUGUGCUUUGUUUAUAGGGGACUAAUGACAGCACUCUGUCAUGGAGUUGUGUCAUGAAGCAGUAGAGCCAUGGCUGGAGGUCACGGUGAGGGAUCGUGGCUAGCUUGCAGUAAAGUUCACUGCUACCACCACGGAUGCUCUUGGACCACACCUGGGGACCUGCUUCACUCCUCCUGGAUUUAUUGUCACGGAAAACAAUCCCUCCCUGUGUUUUUGACCAAGCUGGUGAAAUUAAAUUAGUUCAGAAGAGUUGAUAAGCAUGAGAACCAUGAAAUGCCUGGCAUUUUUAGUUUUAUAUCAAUUACUCCUUGCAUUUUAUGUUCAUGCUACCUGUGCUCUGCCUGCCUGGUCCUUGCUUAUCAUGGAGACUCACAGGAACAAAACUAAUAAAGGAGACAUUUUCAUGGGAAGGAGGUGUAGGAACGGGGAAUUCCUGCCUAUGUCAGCACGCUCAGCACCUAUGAGACUCAGAAAACAUCAGUCGAUAGCAAGAAUCAACCUAGAAUUCAGCGUUAAAGGGCACAUUGUGGAGAUAGUAGGAAAUCAAGGCCCUCCUGGAAUACAUUGAAAUAUAAGGUCUUUGGUGAAAGUGUUCUUCCUUUUCUAGUAACGAUGGCUGUCGUUCUAGAUGGGAGACAACUGAUGGGGUCACUCAGAGUGAGCUGUUUUUACAUAGGACGCUCAUGGCCCCUGAAAGGAAACAUUUCUGAGAUGGACUGGACUAUGGAACAUGAGGGUGGCGAGGAAUGCCAGAGUGUAGACGGAUACAAAACAACCUUUUACAGGACAGCUGACAUUUGUCCAGUUAGUGGAGCUGAUGUCUCCAUCACACUGACUGUGGGGUCUACAGUUGGUUUUGACUAUGGGAACAAGCAAUAGAGAUUAGGCAAAAGAUGUAGCCAAAAUUAAAGGCAUGUCUUCC
RNAcentral lists this long non-coding RNA (1714 nucleotides) under Cricetulus griseus (Chinese hamster). RNAcentral's name for it is "lncRNA (ENSCGRG00015038032.1)". Lineage: Eukaryota; Metazoa; Chordata; Mammalia; Rodentia; Cricetidae. The record is from RNAcentral.